This is a long non-coding RNA of Mya arenaria, 291 nucleotides long. RefSeq lists it as uncharacterized. The transcript has 3 exons. The record is from RefSeq and is a predicted model, not a curated record. NCBI's taxonomy places the organism in Eukaryota, Metazoa, Mollusca, Bivalvia, Myida, Myidae.
CAACCGAGCGUAAAUAUUAAGCGAGAAAGUCUAGUGGAACGAUGCAGGGUUCAUUGGGUUUGUUUACAAAAAUUCAAGCAUCCGGUUAAGAAGACGACAAAUAAGAAUGGUAUUAAGUUGGUAGAAUGGAACUCCUUCCUGAUUCCUGCACAUGUAAGUUACCAGAUACUCUUGAGGGACCAAUUUAAGGGCAAACAGACAAACGUUUUGAUGCAAAGAAAGCAUUGGAUUUGAAAGUUCCCAUGGAGAAGAAAAAUGGAGAGAUUCUAAUAGUAUGAAGAUACUCCUGUG